UCCGGUUUGUCACCGGCAGUCUCCCAUGAGUCCCCAACUAAAUGCUGGCAACAUGGGACGGGGGUUGCGCUCGUUGCGGGACUUAACCCAACAUCUCACGGCACGAGCUGACGACAGCCAUGCAGCAUCUGUGCACCGGCCCCGAAGGGGGGCCGUGUUUCCACGGCUUACCGGUGCGUGUCAAGCCUUGGUAAGGUUCUGCGCGUUGCGUCGAAUUAAACAACAUGCUCCGCUGCUUGUGCGGGCCCCCGUCAAUUCCUUUGAGUUUUAGCCUUGCGGCCGUACUCCCCAGGCGGGGUGCUUAAUGCGUUAGCUUCGGCACGGACGGAGUCGACACCGCCCACACCUAGCACCCAUCGUUUACGGCGUGGACUAC
RNAcentral lists this unclassified non-coding RNA (376 nucleotides) under uncultured Gaiellales bacterium. Its description in RNAcentral is "contains 16S-23S intergenic spacer region". Lineage: Bacteria; Bacillati; Actinomycetota; Thermoleophilia; Gaiellales. The record is from RNAcentral.